Molecule: long non-coding RNA, 521 nt
Organism: Cuculus canorus (common cuckoo)
Lineage: Eukaryota; Metazoa; Chordata; Aves; Cuculiformes; Cuculidae
Exons: 3
Source: RefSeq, a predicted model, not a curated record
UGGAAUUGUGCAAGAGAAAUUCAGCCUAUGGAGUUAUUCGCAGCCAUUGUGUUUGUGCCCUGUUGACAUUACUUUUUUUUUUUUCUCUGCAAAAUAUUGGAAAUCAUUUUCCCUGAUGGAACUGAUGGGAAACAACGAGUGAAUCCCAGGAGAGACAGGGGAUUUGCCUUGAAAAAAACAAAUCAAACCCAAUGAGAAUUGAAGUACAGAAUGUGGGAAAAGCUGAGCGUGCACUGCCUAUCUACCAAUUUCCUGACAAACGAGAGACUGUGCUCUGGAGUCAUUAUUUAUCAGACAAAGGCUGUGAAAACAGCAAGUGGCACAAUAGCUGACACGGAGGUGUCUGUUCUGCUUUAGUCUGUAAUGCAUCUUUCGAGGCACAGGGCUCCAAAGAACUCCUCCUGCUGUAGGUAUUUGAGAGAUCAAAGCCAGCACCUAUCAAACGUGCUAAUGGAAACACCUCAAAGCCAGUUUAGUGCGUAAGUACCCUUCAGCUAACAAUAGUUUCCAUGUAGAAUGCC